GCUAAAAAAAGGAAAGAACAAUCAAUACUCACUAAUUUUACUGAAAUCUGGUUAGGUGGAAAUCAAUUCAAAGAAUCUUUUUUCCAUUAUAAUUCAUGCAAGAUUCACUGUAAAUCUUUACAGCCAUAAAUUAGUCCAAGUAUUGGGCAUCAAAACCGUGCUCGUGGUAUCUAAAUAUAGUAGCUCGACAUACAAAGAAAGAUUGGGGUGUUAUUUAGUGCUCUGGAUUGUCAACUUGCUGGUGUCUGUAAGGAUGAAGAUUUUAACGGUAUAUAGGUAAUGUUGAAUUGAAUUUUUAAGGUUGUAGCAGUGUUGGUGACCGGAGUGAAGGAAGGUAAAGGAAAGAGAGAUGACAAGCUCCACCGAAGAUGCAGUCCAUCAGUCCAGAGUUCCUGGAAAGGAUGAAUCCAUUAUUGACAUGAAAGGAGAUGAAGUGAAUGACAGUCCUAUAGAGCAAGUAAGGUUGACGGUUCCCAUCACAGAUGAUCCUUCACAACCUGUGUUGACUUUUCGAACGUGGCUUCUUGGGUUAGCAUCAUGCGUGCUGCUCUCUUUCGUGAAUCAAUUUUUUGCUUACCGUUCAAAUCAACUUAGUGUCACUGCAGUUUCAGCGCAAAUUGUCACUCUCCCACUUGGAAAGCUGAUGGCUUCAACACUUCCCAAGAAGCAGAUCAAAAUUCCAUUGACAAAAUGGUCAUUUUCCUUGAAUCCAGGGCCUUUCAAUUUGAAAGAACAUGUCUUGAUAACCAUAUUUGCAAGCGCUGGAACUGGAGGUGUUUAUGCAGUAAGCAUUAUCACUUCUGUCAAGGCCUUCUAUAGGAGACCUCUACAUCCGGUUGCAGCUAUGUUGCUAGUACAAACAACUCAGAUGCUUGGGUAUGGAUGGGCCGGUGUUUUUAGGAAAUUUCUGGUGGAUUCACCAUACAUGUGGUGGCCCUCAAACCUCGUUCAAGUCUCUCUAUUCAGGGCAUUACAUGAAAAAGAAAAGAGAAGCAAGGGAGGACUUACUAGGCUGCAAUUCUUUCUCGUUGUUUUCAUAUCUAGUUUUGCUUACUAUCUCUUUCCAGGCUACCUUUUCCCUUCCUUGUCUACGAUCUCCUUCAUUUGUUGGAUAUGGAAAGACUCGGUCACUGCUCAACAGAUCGGUUCAGGGCUAAAUGGCCUUGGUAUUGGCUCUUUUGGCCUCGACUGGUCCACUGUUUCUAGCUUCUUGGGGACACCUCUUGCUGUGCCCUUCUUUGCUAUUGCAAACACUCUGGGCGGUUUUUUCUUGCUAAUGUAUAUUAUAGUGCCCAUUGCUUACUGGACUAAUGCAUUUGAUGCUAAGAAAUUCCCCAUCUUUUCUGCCCACACUUUUGACAAUGCUGGUCAGACGUACAACAUAAGCCGAAUUCUCAACCAAAAAACUUUCGACAUUGAUCUAGAUGCCUAUAAAGCUUACAGCAAGCUACAUCUCAGUGUUUUAUUUGCCUUUGCAUAUGGACUUGGUUUUGCAGCUCUGAUGGCCACUAUUUCACAUGUUGCACUCUUUGAGGGAAAGAAUAUUUGGAAAUUGUGGAGGAAGACUUCCAGUGCAGUGAAAGAUAAAUAUGCUGAUGUGCAUACUAGACUGAUGAAGAAGAACUAUGAAGUGGUUCCUCAAUGGUGGUUUGUUGCAAUCUUGGUUGUAUCUGUGGCUUUAUCCCUUCUUGCAGUAGAAGGUUUUAACAAACAAUUACAACUUCCAUGGUGGGGGCUUCUCUUUGCUUGUGCAAUUGCCCUUGUUUUCACCCUGCCCAUUGGGGUUGUUCAGGCCACAACAAACAUGCAAAUGGGUCUAAAUGUGAUUUCAGAGUUUAUUAUCGGAUAUAUCUACCCUGGGAGGCCUCUUGCCAAUGUGACAUUCAAGACAUAUGGAUACAUAAGCAUGGCUCAAGCCCUUUUCUUUCUGCAAGACUUCAAAUUAGGCCACUAUAUGAAAAUUCCUCCCAAAUCCAUGUUCAUUGUUCAGUUUGUUGGAACAAUUGCUUCUUCGACUGUCUACUUUGCUACAGCAUGGUGGCUUCUAUCAACUGUUGAUAACAUAUGUAUCCCAGAAUUGUUACCAGAAGGAAGUCCAUGGACAUGCCCUGGGGACGGUGUUUUUUACAAUGCUUCAAUCAUAUGGGGAGUCGUAGGCCCUCUCAGAAUGUUUGGGAAUUUAGGUUUGUACAAUAGCAUGUGCUGGUUCUUUCUAAUUGGUCUAGUAGCCCCAGUUCCAAUAUGGUUAUUGUCGCGCAAAUAUCCUGAGAAGAAAUGGAUCAGGCUCAUCCACAUGCCAAUUUUUUUGUCAGCCACAUCAAGCAUGCCUCCAGCUGGAGCUGUGCACUACUUGAGCUGGGGAGUUGUUGGAAUAUUUUUCAACUUCUAUAUUUAUAGAAUGUACAAGGCAUGGUGGGCUAGGCAUAAUUACAUCUUAUCAGCUGGUCUGGAUGCUGGUGUUGCUUUCAUGGGGAUAAUCGUCUUCUUCAGCCUUCAAUCCCAGAAUAUCUAUGGUCCUCAAUGGUGGGGUCUGGAUAGCACUGACCAUUGCCCAAUUGCAAAUUGCCCCACUGCUCCAGGGAUUGUUGUGGAGGGAUGCCCUGUUGUUAAUUGAGCUGCUUGAAUAUUUCCCUAGAUGCAUCAGAACAUGUGGAAUACAGAACUUCUUUUUCAAAGGCACAUUCUCGUAUAGGAUUAUGGGAAUUAUAAAUAGUAGAUAUAAUGUCGUUUGUAAAAAGUCUUUUUUUUUUUCUUUAUGCUUGUUAGAUUUCAGACUUUUGGCUUUCAUAUUCCUAGUUUGAGUCCUUUCUUUCUUUUUCUUUUUCUUUUUAAUGAUGUUUUAUUAACUAUUUCAAUAGAUUUUCUUCAUAAUUUUAUGUUUA
Molecule: unclassified non-coding RNA, 2882 nt
Filed under: Hevea brasiliensis (rubber tree)
Lineage: Eukaryota; Viridiplantae; Streptophyta; Magnoliopsida; Malpighiales; Euphorbiaceae
Source: RNAcentral